Long non-coding RNA from Asparagus officinalis (garden asparagus), 401 nucleotides. RefSeq lists it as uncharacterized. Lineage: Eukaryota; Viridiplantae; Streptophyta; Magnoliopsida; Asparagales; Asparagaceae. The record is from RefSeq and is a predicted model, not a curated record. The transcript has 3 exons.
CUUCUAGCAUUUGUCUUUGAGAAAUUCAUUCCAAUAUUUUUCUUCCCAUUCCUUCUAAAAUCUACGGAAAUUCAAAAUUUUGUUAAGUCACCCUUUUUGUUUUUGACAGGAUCAAGAUAAGCUGAUAAGUAACCUUAAAACCAUUCAAGAUUACCUUUGUUCCUUUGAGGCACAGGGGUUGACAAUAGUGAACAUUUCUGCAACGACAUUUCCUCAAACAUUGGAUUGGCUCCACGGUUAUCUUCUUCAGUGCAUCGAGCAUGGUGUUUCUGCUGCUACUCCCAAUAUUGGCAAUCCCUCAAAAGUGGAAUUGGGUAGUAAAAGUGAAUAAUUCUCGUCUCAGCCAUGACGUAAAUUUGAAAAAUAGUGUUGUAGAUUGAGAUUUGACAGGUAAAACUAAA